UCCCUGGUGGUUCAGUGGUUAGGACUUGGCAUUUUCACUGCCAAAAGCUCGGGUUCCAUCCCUGGUCAGGGAA
This 73-nucleotide transfer RNA is filed under the name Bos taurus (domestic cattle). It matches the Rfam family "tRNA". Rfam says of the family: Transfer RNA (tRNA) molecules are approximately 80 nucleotides in length. Their secondary structure includes four short double-helical elements and three loops (D, anti-codon, and T loops). The record is from Rfam by way of RNAcentral. Lineage: Eukaryota; Metazoa; Chordata; Mammalia; Artiodactyla; Bovidae. RNAcentral also lists the same sequence under 4 other names.